AUCGCUUCUCAGCCUUUUGGCUAAGAUCCAGUGUAGAUACUGUAAAAAUAAGGAAUUCAUUGAAAUGCAUGGGUAUAGACCGAUAUAAAAGUUCUUGGUGUGCCUGGGUGGCACAGUUGGUUAAAUGUGCGACUUCAGCUCAGGUCAUGAUCUCACAGUUCAUGGGUUUGAGCCCCAUGUC
This is a small nuclear RNA of 181 nucleotides. Its record names the gene U2. It matches the Rfam family "U2 spliceosomal RNA". From Rfam's summary of the family: U2 is a small nuclear RNA (snRNA) component of the spliceosome (involved in pre-mRNA splicing). Complementary binding between U2 snRNA (in an area lying towards the 5' end but 3' to hairpin I) and the branchpoint sequence (BPS) of the intron results the bulging out of an unpaired adenosine, on the BPS, which initiates a nucleophilic attack at the intronic 5' splice site, thus starting the first of two transesterification reactions that mediate splicing. The record is from Ensembl.